This 321-nucleotide ribosomal RNA is filed under the name Candidatus Bathyarchaeota archaeon. RNAcentral's name for it is "bacterial SSU rRNA". It matches the Rfam family "Archaeal small subunit ribosomal RNA", at positions 1 to 291 of the family's 1478-position model. The record is from RNAcentral. Lineage: Archaea; Thermoproteati; Candidatus Bathyarchaeota.
UUAACUCCGGUUGAUCCUGCCGGACCCCACUGCUAUCGGGAUGGGACUAAGACAUGCUAGUCGUGCGUCUCCAAGCCAUGGUGGAGACGCGGCGCACAGCUCAGUAACACGUGGCUAACCUACCCUUGGGACAGGGAUAACCCCGGGAAACUGGGGCUAAUCCCUGAUAGGUGAGGACUCCUGGAAUGGGUCUUCACUGAAAGGACGUCUAGAUCAUGCUUCUAGACGUUGCCCAAGGAUGGGGCCGCGGCCGAUCAGGUUGUUGGUGAGGUAACGGCUCACCAAGCCUAUAACCGGUACGGGCCGUGAGAGCGGGAGCCC